ACGAGUUUGAUCAUGGCUCAGAUUGAACGCUGGCGGCAUGCUUUACACAUGCAAGUCGAACGGUAACAGGGAGCUUGCUCCGCUGACGAGUGGCGAACGGGUGAGUAAUGCAUCGGAACGUGCCGUGUAAUGGGGGAUAACGUAGCGAAAGUUACGCUAAUACCGCAUACGCCCUGAGGGGGAAAUGGGGGACCGCAAGGCCUCACGUUAUACGAGCGGCCGAUGUCGGAUUAGCUAGUUGGUGGGGUAAAGGCCUACCAAGGCGACGAUCCGUAGCGGGUCUGAGAGGAUGAUCCGCCACACUGGGACUGAGACACGGCCCAGACUCCUACGGGAGGCAGCAGUGGGGAAUUUUGGACAAUGGGGGCAACCCUGAUCCAGCCAUGCCGCGUGAGUGAAGAAGGCCUUCGGGUUGUAAAGCUCUUUCAGGUGGAAAGAAAUCGCAUCUUUUAAUACAGGGUGUGGAUGACGGUACCAUCAGAAGAAGCACCGGCUAACUACGUG
This 504-nucleotide ribosomal RNA is filed under the name uncultured bacterium. Its description in RNAcentral is "bacterial SSU rRNA". It matches the Rfam family "Bacterial small subunit ribosomal RNA", at positions 1 to 507 of the family's 1533-position model. The record is from RNAcentral.